Molecule: long non-coding RNA, 1139 nt
Organism: Saccostrea cuccullata (small rock oyster)
Lineage: Eukaryota; Metazoa; Mollusca; Bivalvia; Ostreida; Ostreidae
Exons: 4
Source: RefSeq, a predicted model, not a curated record
CUUUUAUACGUUUUUGUGCCAUAAAUUUUUUUUUUAAAUGAUAAAUGCCGAAGUGUAUUGUAUUUGCCUCAGCAUUACAUUCCAUUGUUGCUCAAAGAAGAUUAGGCAGAUCUGUCUUUGUUUUACUUUCCUAUACAUUUGCAUUCUUAUAUCAUUAGUAAUUGUGAAACAUUAUGUGUUUUUACAAGAUAUCCCGCUGAUCAUUUUUUGAAUAUCCUACAGAAUGACUGAAUCUUUAAAACUUGCAAGCACUAAUAUUUUUGUCUAUGCAGUUUUAUACCUCAAGAUUUUGUGAAUUGGUAAGUGUUGUUAUAUGAUAAGCAAACAUAGAUUUUCAUUUAUUGAGGAAAAAUCAUUUUUGAUCUGGACAAAUGCUUCAUACAGUAUUAAAAUUUUAAGUCUUAAUAAUAUUGGAGGACACUUUUCUGAUUUCGUUGUAGUUGAAAACAUUAUUACUAGAAGGCUGCACGAUUUGAAAGGGAAGAAAAAAGGAUUCUUCUAAACGAUCCAGGUUUAGUUGAACAAAGGUUGAAUCAUCUUGAGCAAGAGGUGCAGACACUGAAGAUUGAAAACCAAAAGCUAAAAUCUUCACAAACAGGAAGUAAUGCUGUUUACACACGUUGAGGAAGAAAGGAAUGCCCUUCUAAUGUAUCAGAGAUAAUAUAUUCCGGAUUUGCUGCAGGUGGAUGGUGGAAUGAUAAAGGAAGUCCAACUUUCUUUGUCUUCCGCCAGAUCCUAUAUCAAGUGGGAAAUCAAUAACAACAGGUUGCAACCAUCUCUUUGGUGUGGAAUAUGAAUCGGGAUUCUGGGGACCCCAUUCCCAUAAUGAAGAUGCCCCUUGCGCAGUUUGCUCUAGCACUUCUGGGGCCCAAAUGCUGAUGAUUCCCGGAAGAGACACUUGCUAUCAUGGAUGGACAAAGCAAUAUGAUGGCUAUCUUGGAACCAACCGUCUUGAUUACGCAGGAGCAACCGAGUACGUGUUUGUUGAUCACAGUCCAUCAUAUCUUAAUGGAGGAGAGCGUGCCACGGAUGGAGCUUUAUUUCACCCCGUUACCUACCAGUGUGGCGCACUACAGUGUCCGCCAUACACUAACAACGAAGUCGUCAAUUGUGUUGUGUGUACAAAAUAAAGUUAUUAA